AGGGGUAUAGUACAGCGGUUAGUGCGUAGGUUUCCAAAACCUGAAACCGUGGUUCGAUUCCACGUACCCCUGCCA
This 75-nucleotide transfer RNA is filed under the name Candidatus Saccharimonadota bacterium. RNAcentral's name for it is "tRNA-Trp". It matches the Rfam family "tRNA". Rfam says of the family: Transfer RNA (tRNA) molecules are approximately 80 nucleotides in length. Their secondary structure includes four short double-helical elements and three loops (D, anti-codon, and T loops). The record is from RNAcentral. Lineage: Bacteria; Candidatus Saccharimonadota.